Molecule: ribosomal RNA, 477 nt
Filed under: uncultured organism
Description: partial 16S ribosomal RNA
Rfam family: Bacterial small subunit ribosomal RNA
Source: RNAcentral
GUACACUCCUGCGGGAGGCAGCAGUGGGGAAUUUUGGACAAUGGGCGAAAGCCUGAUCCAGCAAUGCCGCGUGAGUGAAGAAGGCCUUCGGGUUGUAAAGCUCUUUUGUCAGGGAAGAAACGGUGAGAGCUAAUAUCUUUUGCUAAUGACGGUACCUGAAGACUAAGCACCGGCUAACUACGUGCCAGCAGCCGCGGUAAUACGUAGGGUGCAAGCGUUAAUCGGAAUUACUGGGCGUAAAGCGUGCGCAGGCGGUUUUGUAAGUCUGAUGUGAAAUCCCCGGGCUCAACCUGGGAAUUGCAUUGGAGACUGCAAGGCUAGAAUCUGGCAGAGGGGGGUAGAAUUCCACGUGUAGCAGUGAAAUGCGUAGAUAUGUGGAGGAACACCGAUGGCGAAGGCAGCCCCCUGGGUCAAGAUUGACGCUCAUGCACGAAAGCGUGGGGAGCAAACAGGAUUAGAUACCCGAGUAGUCCCAUG